UAGGGAAUAUUGCGCAAUGGAGGAAACUCUGACGCAGCGACGCCGCGUGGGUGAUGAAGGUCUUCGGAUCGUAAAACCCUGUCGAAAGGGACGAAAAACAGAGAGGUGAAUAACCUAGCUGCUUGACUGUACCUUUAAAGGAAGCACCGGCUAACUACGUGCCAGCAGCCGCGGUAAUACGUAGGGUGCAAGCGUUGUUCGGAAUCAUUGGGCGUAAAGCGCGUGUAGGUUGCUUUGAAAGUCGGUUGUGAAAUACCUGGGCUUAACCGAGGAAGUGCAUCCGAAACUUCAAAGCUAGAGAUUGGUAGAGGAAGGUGGAAUUCCAAGUGUAGAGGUGAAAUUCGUAGAUAUUUGGAGGAAUACCGGCGGCGAAGGCGGCCUUCUGGGCCACAUCUGACACUGAGACGCGAAAGCGUGGGGAGCAAACAGGAUUAGAUACCCGCGUAGUCC
RNAcentral lists this ribosomal RNA (450 nucleotides) under uncultured bacterium. RNAcentral describes it as "bacterial SSU rRNA". It matches the Rfam family "Bacterial small subunit ribosomal RNA", at positions 355 to 796 of the family's 1533-position model. The record is from RNAcentral.